GAUGAACGCUGGCGGCGUGCCUAAUACAUGCAAGUCGAGCGAACAGACGAGGAGCUUGCUCCUCUGACGUUAGCGGCGGACGGGUGAGUAACACGUGGAUAACCUACCUAUAAGACUGGGAUAACUUCGGGAAACCGGAGCUAAUACCGGAUAAUAUAUUGAACCGCAUGGUUCAAUAGUAAAAGACGGUUUUUCUGGCACUUAUAGAUGGAUCCGCGCCGCAUUAGCUAGUUGGUAAGGUAACGGCUUACCAAGGCGACGAUGCGUAGCCGACCUGAGAGGGUGAUCGGCCACCCUGGAACUGAGACACAGUCCAGACUCCUACGGGAGGCAGCAGUAGGGAAUCUUCCGCAAUGGGCGAAAGCCUGACGGAGCAACGCCGCGUGAGUGAUGAAGGUCUUCGGAUCGUAAAACUCUGUUAUUAGGGAAGAACAAAUGUGUAAGUAACUAUGCACGUAUUGACGGUACCUAAUCAGAAAGCAACGGCUAACUACGUG
Molecule: ribosomal RNA, 497 nt
Filed under: uncultured bacterium
Lineage: Bacteria
Description: partial 16S ribosomal RNA
Rfam family: Bacterial small subunit ribosomal RNA
Source: RNAcentral